This 333-nucleotide long non-coding RNA is filed under the name Mytilus galloprovincialis (Mediterranean mussel). The record is from RNAcentral. Lineage: Eukaryota; Metazoa; Mollusca; Bivalvia; Mytilida; Mytilidae.
GUUUGAUGGCAAAAAUUUGUAAUGACAUACUAGAUAAAACCAGUUAAUUCGGAAUAUCUGGCAAAAAUUUAAAAACAAGAGGAGCAAACAUCCUUAAUCCAUAUAUAACAUACUAGAUUUGAAAGUAAAUAAAGGCAACUAUUACAGUAGUAUAAUGGUUUUUUUUUAUCUUACCUUCAAUGUAAUUUAGAAAUAUUAUACUGUCAAUAUAGUUUGUUCUAGAUAGAAUAGACUAGCUAACUUGUUAUGCCAUCCUUGCAAAUUAUAUAGCUCUGUAUUUUUUAUGAUUAUCAUUUAGAAAUGGUGGUUACAUGUAUAUUUUGUAAUUGUGAC